This 386-nucleotide ribosomal RNA is filed under the name uncultured bacterium. Its description in RNAcentral is "bacterial SSU rRNA". It matches the Rfam family "Bacterial small subunit ribosomal RNA", at positions 29 to 416 of the family's 1533-position model. The record is from RNAcentral.
AUUAAACGCUGGCGGCAUGCCUUACGCAUGCAAGUCGAACGGCAGCACGGGGGCAACCCUGGUGGCGAGUGGCGAACGGGUGAGUAAAGCAUCGGAACGUGCCCUGGAGUGGGGGAUAACGUAGCGAAAGUUACGCUAAUACCGCAUAUUCUGUGAGCAGGAAAGCAGGGGAUCGCAAGACCUUGCGCUCUGGGAGCGGCCGAUGUCGGAUUAGCUAGUUGGUGGGGUAAAGGCCUACCAAGGCGACGAUCCGUAGCGGGUCUGAGAGGAUGAUCCGCCACACUGGGACUGAGACACGGCCCAGACUCCUACGGGAGGCAGCAGUGGGGAAUUUUGGACAAUGGGCGAAAGCCUGAUCCAGCCAUGCCGCGUGAGUGAAGAAGGCC